RNAcentral lists this ribosomal RNA (1482 nucleotides) under Klebsiella pneumoniae. RNAcentral describes it as "partial 23S ribosomal RNA". It matches the Rfam family "Bacterial large subunit ribosomal RNA", at positions 1 to 1530 of the family's 2925-position model. Lineage: Bacteria; Pseudomonadati; Pseudomonadota; Gammaproteobacteria; Enterobacterales; Enterobacteriaceae. The record is from RNAcentral.
GGUUAAGCGACUAAGCGUACACGGUGGAUGCCCUGGCAGUCAGAGGCGAUGAAGGACGUGCUAAUCUGCGAAAAGCGUCGGUAAGGUGAUAUGAACCGUUAUAACCGGCGAUGUCCGAAUGGGGAAACCCAGUGUGAUUCGUCACACUAUCGUUAACUGAAUACAUAGGUUAACGAGGCGAACCGGGGGAACUGAAACAUCUAAGUACCCCGAGGAAAAGAAAUCAACCGAGAUUCCCCCAGUAGCGGCGAGCGAACGGGGAGCAGCCCAGAGUCUGAAUCAGCUUGUGUGUUAGUGGAACGGUCUGGAAAGUCCGACGGUACAGGGUGAUAGUCCCGUACACCAAAAUGCACAGGCUGUGAACUCGAAGAGUAGGGCGGGACACGUGGUAUCCUGUCUGAAUAUGGGGGGACCAUCCUCCAAGGCUAAAUACUCCUGACUGACCGAUAGUGAACCAGUACCGUGAGGGAAAGGCGAAAAGAACCCCGGCGAGGGGAGUGAAAAAGAACCUGAAACCGUGUACGUACAAGCAGUGGGAGCACCUUCGGGUGUGACUGCGUACCUUUUGUAUAAUGGGUCAGCGACUUAUAUUCUGUAGCAAGGUUAACCGUAUAGGGGAGCCGCAGGGAAACCGAGUCUUAACUGGGCGUUAAGUUGCAGGGUAUAGACCCGAAACCCGGUGAUCUAGCCAUGGGCAGGUUGAAGGUUGGGUAACACUAACUGGAGGACCGAACCGACUAAUGUUGAAAAAUUAGCGGAUGACUUGUGGCUGGGGGUGAAAGGCCAAUCAAACCGGGAGAUAGCUGGUUCUCCCCGAAAGCUAUUUAGGUAGCGCCUCGUGAAUUCAUCUUCGGGGGUAGAGCACUGUUUCGGCUAGGGGGUCAUCCCGACUUACCAACCCGAUGCAAACUACGAAUACCGAAGAAUGUUAUCACGGGAGACACACGGCGGGUGCUAACGUCCGUCGUGAAGAGGGAAACAACCCAGACCGCCAGCUAAGGUCCCAAAGUCAUGGUUAAGUGGGAAACGAUGUGGGAAGGCACAGACAGCCAGGAUGUUGGCUUAGAAGCAGCCAUCAUUUAAAGAAAGCGUAAUAGCUCACUGGUCGAGUCGGCCUGCGCGGAAGAUGUAACGGGGCUAAACCAUGCACCGAAGCUGCGGCAGCGACACUAUGUGUUGUUGGGUAGGGGAGCGUUCUGUAAGCCUGCGAAGGUGACCUGUGAGGGUUGCUGGAGGUAUCAGAAGUGCGAAUGCUGACAUAAGUAACGAUAAAGCGGGUGAAAAGCCCGCUCGCCGGAAGACCAAGGGUUCCUGUCCAACGUUAAUCGGGGCAGGGUGAGUCGACCCCUAAGGCGAGGCCGAAAGGCGUAGUCGAUGGGAAACAGGUUAAUAUUCCUGUACUUGGUGUUACUGCGAAGGGGGGACGGAGAAGGCUAUGUUAGCCGGGCGACGGUUGUCCCGGUUUAAGCAUGUAGGCUGGUU